GUAGUCCACGCCGUAAACGAUGAUAACUAGCCGUUGGGAGGAUUUACCUCUUAGUGGCGAAGCUAACGCGUUAAGUUAUCCGCCUGGGGAGUACGGCCGCAAGGUUAAAACUCAAAGGAAUUGACGGGGACCCGCACAAGCGGUGGAGCAUGUGGUUUAAUUCGAUGCAACGCGAAGAACCUUACCUACCCUUGACAUCCAGAGAAUCUGUUAGAGAUAGUAGAGUGCCUUCGGGAACUCUGAGACAGGUGCUGCAUGGCUGUCGUCAGCUCGUGUCCGUGAGAUGUUGGGUUAAGUCCCGUAACG
RNAcentral lists this ribosomal RNA (306 nucleotides) under uncultured bacterium. RNAcentral's name for it is "bacterial SSU rRNA". It matches the Rfam family "Bacterial small subunit ribosomal RNA", at positions 790 to 1094 of the family's 1533-position model. The record is from RNAcentral.